This 459-nucleotide ribosomal RNA is filed under the name uncultured bacterium. RNAcentral's name for it is "partial 16S ribosomal RNA". It matches the Rfam family "Bacterial small subunit ribosomal RNA", at positions 338 to 795 of the family's 1533-position model. The record is from RNAcentral.
CCUUCGGGGUGCAGCAGUGAGGAAUAUUGGUCAAUGGACGGAAGUCUGAACCAGCCAUGCCGCGUGCAGGAUGACGGCUCUAUGAGUUGUAAACUGCUUUUGUACGAGAAUAAUAGUUCUUACGUGUAGGGAUUUGAAUGUAUCGUACGAAUAAGGAUCGGCUAAAUCCGUGCCAGCAGCCGCGGUAAUACGGAGGAUUCGAGCGUUAUGCGGAUUUAUUGGGUUUAAAGGGUGCGCAGUCGGUCUUUUAAGUCAGCGUUCAACGACCGGGGCCCAACCCCGGCCCGCCGUUGAAACUGGCAGUCGCGAGUUGGAGAGAAGUAUGCGGAAUGCGCGGUGUAGCGGGGAAAUGAAUAGAUAUCGCGCAGAACUCCGAUUGCGAAGGCAGCAUGCCGGCUCCACACUGACGCUGAGGCACGAAAGCGUGGGUAUCGAACAGGAUUAGAUACCCUAGUAGUC